GCUAUGGGUUGUUUUCCGUCGCAACUAUGUCCUAAACUCGGGGCAUGUAUAUUCUUCAUUGGCCGCAAUUCUCUAUCCAAAUAUAACAUCACUCGCUGCUCUCUGCUCGAUAUAGAAUCAUAGGAUUCAGAAGGAUACUUACAUGUACCUAUUGCUUUAGAACAUGAAUCUGAAGUGGAAAUGACAUGGUUAUGCAUCACACGUGCA
This 207-nucleotide unclassified non-coding RNA is filed under the name Hevea brasiliensis (rubber tree). The record is from RNAcentral. Lineage: Eukaryota; Viridiplantae; Streptophyta; Magnoliopsida; Malpighiales; Euphorbiaceae.